RNAcentral lists this ribosomal RNA (451 nucleotides) under uncultured bacterium. RNAcentral describes it as "bacterial SSU rRNA". It matches the Rfam family "Bacterial small subunit ribosomal RNA", at positions 335 to 799 of the family's 1533-position model. The record is from RNAcentral.
ACUCCUACGGGAGGCAGCAGUGGGGAAUAUUGCACAAUGGGCGCAAGCCUGAUGCAGCGACGCCGCGUGAGGGAUGACGGCCUUCGGGUUGUAAACCUCUGUUAGCAUCGAAGAAGCGAAAGUGACGGUAGGUGCAGAGAAAGCGCCGGCUAACUACGUGCCAGCAGCCGCGGUAAUACGUAGGGCGCGAGCGUUGUCCGGAAUUAUUGGGCGUAAAGAGCUUGUAGGCGGUUGGUCGCGUCUGCUGUGAAAGGCUGGGCUUAACCCUGGUUUUGCAGUGGGUACGGGCUAACUAGAGUGCAGUAGGGGAGACUGGAAUUCCUGGUGUAGCGGUGGAAUGCGCAGAUAUCAGGAGGAACACCGAUGGCGAAGGCAGGUCUCUGGGCUGUAACUGACGCUGAGAAGCGAAAGCAUGGGGGAGCGAACAGGAUUAGAUACCCUGUAGACUGUC